AUGCUGGAAACAGCGAUGCGGGAAUUCCAAGUGCCGGCACAAAGUGUCGGCUGUUCCAUUGUCUAAAAAACAUAGGAAGUAAGGGCUGGGUAAGACGGGUGCCAGCCGCCGCGGUAAUACCUGCAGCCCGAGUGGUGGCCGUUAUUAUUGGGCCUAAAACGUCCGUAGCCUGCUCAGUAGAUGCCUGUGUAAAUCGAACGGCUCAACCGUUCGAACUGCGGGUAGACCGCUGGGCUUGGGACCGGGAGAGUCACGAAGUACUCCGGGGGUAGAGGUGAAAUUCUGUAAUCCUCGGGGGACUACCGGUGGCGAAGGCGUCGUGAUAGAACGGCUCCGACGGUGAGGGACGAAGCCCUGGGGCGCAAACCGGAUUAGAUACCCCCGUAGUCC
Molecule: ribosomal RNA, 390 nt
Filed under: uncultured archaeon
Lineage: Archaea
Description: bacterial SSU rRNA
Rfam family: Archaeal small subunit ribosomal RNA
Source: RNAcentral